GCUAAAGCCUAAAUGUCAGAUCAACACAAACUUUGACCAAGUUUAAAAAUACAUUUUACCAAACAACUGAAUCAUUGACUAGCUUCCUAAGCAACUGUCGAUUGGAUUGAGCCGCCAAUAACGAGAGGUACUGAGGUAGUGUCUGAUUGAUUCUGUCUCUACCAUCACGGAGAUAGCGAAUCCAACUGCUUAUGCAUGCAGCUUAUGUUUCUACGGAUGAAAUAACUCCGGCCGCAGAUAUUCCAUCUGCACCCAUGAACACUAUUGCUGAAUUGACAACAACUUCCGAAGAAAUCGCUACAACAACAGAAGUGCCCAGCACGCUCUCGGUUUCCACAGGUGAUCCCACUUUUACAGUCUGGGCAGUGAAUCCCAGUACGGAAGCAACAACUCUGGCUGUGGAAACGUCAAUCCUGACCGACCAAUUGACUGUCGACACACUGAAAAAUUCGAUUAAUGAAGCGACUACAGCCGGUGAAAUUGUUCUGUCGUCAGAACCAACAGCAGCACAUGGAGAAACAUUGACCUCAAUUUCUACAAUAAGUAAUGCUUAUCUUUCCUCAGGAGCUCUCGGACGCUCUGGAAAUGAUUAAACUGUUGUAUGUAACUGUUGCCCCGAAACAAAUGAGAGUAUUCCGGCUGCUGAACUAACUUCGGUACCUAUCGAAUCGGUUAUGGAAACGACAGUUGUGGCUGUUGAACCUCCUGCCGAAACUCUGUUUACCGAUCUUUCCUUUCCAAUAGAAACCAAAACUGGUAAAACACUAACCUUUAACUAACAGAACAUACUCACAUUUAUUUAAGAUAUUUGCGUUAAUAUCCUUCUUUCUAGUGGGAAAAUUAAUAUGUGCUUAAGACAUAUUAUAAGCGUUGGCCUAGGCAACAGAGACGCAGCAACAAGUCGCAUUAAAAUAUUAAAUACAUUAAUUGGAUUAUUACUAUUUGACAUUCAGGCCCUACCGUUUCGCACAACUGUUUCGCAUUUUGGGCGUUUCGCUUUCGCAGUUUAAGGACUCCCGGGAAAAAGUGACGGCGCAGCUAGAUGAUAAGCAUCAUCUAGCUGAGCGCGACCAGCCAAGAUGUAGGCAAAUUACGCACUAACUCUGCUAAGGAAAAUUUUGUAACCAUACCGAUGCUUAAAAUACAAAACCAAUAAUAAAACUUC
Molecule: RNA transcript, 1165 nt
Organism: Daphnia pulex (common water flea)
Lineage: Eukaryota; Metazoa; Arthropoda; Branchiopoda; Diplostraca; Daphniidae
Exons: 3
Source: RefSeq, a predicted model, not a curated record